This is a small nuclear RNA of Neofelis nebulosa (Clouded leopard), 110 nucleotides long. The record is from RefSeq and is a predicted model, not a curated record. NCBI's taxonomy places the organism in Eukaryota, Metazoa, Chordata, Mammalia, Carnivora, Felidae.
GUGCUCGAUUCAGCAGUACAUAUACUAAAAUUGGAACAAUACAGAGAAGACUAGCAUGGCCCAUGCACAAGGAGGGGACACACACACACACACACACACACACACACAAU